CGCGGGCUCGGAGCCGGGGUUGGGGGUGGGCGAGGGGAGUCCUUCGCCCUUGCGGCGGGCUCCUGCCCAAGCCAGCCCACCCGGCCCAGCUCCCGCUCCCGCUCCCGCUCCGGAGCCGUGCCCACCGGGCCAGCCGGAGGCUGCCGCAGCUGCCGGGGGGAGGGCUUGGAGCUCCAGCCCUUGGGGGAGUCUUUCCUCUAGGGAGUGGUAGGGGUGGGGGCCUUGGAGGGCUCCUGAGCGCCGGGGAACCUCUCCCCCCGGCAGCGUCGACCCUCCCCC
Molecule: long non-coding RNA, 279 nt
Filed under: Homo sapiens (human)
Lineage: Eukaryota; Metazoa; Chordata; Mammalia; Primates; Hominidae
Description: non-protein coding lnc-IVD-1:1
Source: RNAcentral